GUCGUAUAUAGAUGUAUUAGUCGCAAGUCAGACUAGCAUUUCCCUUUACGACACAAUAAAAUUAGAAACUAUUUCCAAUAGUAUUAUUUGCUAAAGAGCAACUUUAGGUUGCUGAAAAUGAUUUAUGGGUAGUGGAAUAGGUUAACCGUAAGACCUUUGGUUGAAAAACUAUGAAAUUAAGCCUCAGAUAUUUUAUCUUUGGUUACGGGAAA
Molecule: non-coding RNA, 212 nt
Filed under: unclassified sequences
Description: IS605-orfB-I RNA
Rfam family: IS605-orfB-I RNA
Source: Rfam by way of RNAcentral